CAGUCGCCACGGUAAUACGUAGGUCCCGAGCGUUGUCCGGAUUUAUUGGGCGUAAAGCGAGCGCAGGCGGUUAGAUAAGUCUGAAGUUAAAGGCUGUGGCUUAACCAUAGUACGCUUUGGAAACUGUUUAACUUGAGUGCAAGAGGGGAGAGUGGAAUUCCGUGUGUAGCGGUGAAAUGCGUAGAUAUAUGGAGGAACACCGGUGGCGAAAGCGGCUCUCUGGCUUGUAACUGACGCUGAGGCUCGAAAGCGUGGGGAGCAAACAGGAUUAGAGACCCCAGUAGUCCCUGUCUCUUAUACC
Molecule: ribosomal RNA, 301 nt
Filed under: uncultured bacterium
Lineage: Bacteria
Description: partial 16S ribosomal RNA
Rfam family: Bacterial small subunit ribosomal RNA
Source: RNAcentral